AUGUAUACUCACGCUGGACCAUUAAAAAAUAUUAGAUUUCCCUACAUUUCUGUCAUCGAGCAUCAGAACUACUAUUUCAAAUUCAUUGGCAUUUGGUGCUAUGUUCUGCACCAUAUCAUAACUAUUUCCCUAUGUUCUGCAUUUGAAAACUAUAUAAAGCCAAAUAACUAUGAACACACCCUUGGAAUAAAUGUGAAAGGAGAAUUUGCGGUCUUACUGGAAAAAAAUGAAACAUUAGCUAGGAUUUGUUGGUUAGAUUCAUGUUGCUCCAUCCAUUUACUAUCAGUUCCUUCCAUAUAUUGCUUCCAUCAGAACAUGUUGACCUGA
This 327-nucleotide ribosomal RNA is filed under the name Triticum aestivum (bread wheat). RNAcentral's name for it is "partial small subunit ribosomal RNA". Lineage: Eukaryota; Viridiplantae; Streptophyta; Magnoliopsida; Poales; Poaceae. The record is from RNAcentral.